Molecule: RNA transcript, 1721 nt
Organism: Populus trichocarpa (black cottonwood)
Lineage: Eukaryota; Viridiplantae; Streptophyta; Magnoliopsida; Malpighiales; Salicaceae
Gene name: patatin-like protein 2
Exons: 6
Source: RefSeq, a predicted model, not a curated record
CUUGGGAGAUUGCAAGGCUUCAACACUGAACUACAUUUGAGUAUACUAGCUAUCUCUCAAGCUCUCAGAAAGUUCAGGCUAAAUCUCUCUAACUCUUCCACUUAUAGGUCUCUUGAUUCCCUCUUUACAUUUUUAGCAUUUGUUUAUCAAUAUGGUUAAUAUGCAAACUCCAAGAUCUCCUCUUCAACGUCCAGCUCAUGGAAACCAAAUCACUGUCCUUAGCAUCGAUGGAGGUGGAAUAAGAGGCAUUAUACCAGGAACUAUCCUUGCCUUUUUAGAGUCUGAGCUUCAGAAGCUGGAUGGUGCAGAUGCAAGGCUUGCAGACUACUUUGAUGUGAUUUCAGGGACUAGCACUGGUGGACUCGUGACUGCUAUGCUAGCUGCACCGAAUAAGCAAAACCGCCCUUUGUUUGCUGCUAAAGACAUUAAUGAAUUCUACCUUGAGAACUGCCCUAAAAUAUUUCCUCAAGACAGCUCUCCAUUUUCUUCAGUUGCAAAUCUGGUAAACACUUUGAGAGGGCCAAAGUAUGAUGGCAACUUCUUGCAUAGUAUUGUCAAAGAAAAGUUGGGAGAUACACGGUUGCACCAGACAUUGACAAAUAUUGUGAUCCCAACUUUUGACAUCAAGCGCCUCCAGCCAACUAUCUUUUCUAGCUAUAAGGUGAAGAAUAACCCAUUAACGGAUGCCCUUCUGUCCGAUAUAUGCAUUGGAACAUCAGCUGCCCCGACUUAUCUCCCUGCCCAUUAUUUUGAAACCAAAGAUCCAUCAGGCAAAGUUAGAGAAUUUAAUCUUAUUGAUGGUGGUGUCGCAGCAAACAAUCCAACUUUAGUUGCCAUAAGUGAAGUUUCAAAAGCAAUCAAUCGGGAGAGUCCUGACUUUUUCCGUAUAAACGCAAUGGAAUAUGGCCGAUUUCUAGUCCUGUCGUUGGGCACUGGUACGGCAAAAUCAGAAGGAAAGUAUGACGCAGAUGAAGCAGCCAAGUGGGGUAUCUUAGGAUGGUUGACUAGUGAUCAUUCUACUCCACUAGUGGAUGUGUUUACACAAGCUAGUGGUGACAUGGUUGAUUUUCAUAUUUCCACUGUUUUUCAAGCCCUUAACUCUGAAGAAAAUUAUCUUCGAAUUCAGGAUGAUACAUUGACUGGAACACUUUCAUCUGUGGAUGUUGCUACAAAAGAGAAUUUGGAGAAUCUUGUGAAAGUGGGUGAGGAAUUGUUGAAGAAGCAAGUUUCAAGGGUGAAUUUGGCUACUGGAGUCUUUGAACCUAUCAAUAAGAUGACUAAUGAAGAGGCUCUCAGAAAGUAUAAAUGAAUGAAUAAUACUCCUUGUUUCAUCUUGAUUAUUCUUUUAUUUAUUUAUUUCUUAAGUUUUUGUUUUGUUGGUGUAGGUUGGCUAAAUUACUCUCGAGGGAGAAGCAUCUUCGUGAGGCUAAGUCAGCUGUUGGAAAUUAAAGCUACUACUCCAAAAUGGACAUGAUUCAUAAAUAAUUUGACUAUUCAUUUGUUGUUUUAUUAUUGAAAAUUAAAUUAUUAGAGGCAAAUAAAAUUUGGAAGAACUAAUUUUUCACUUUGUAAGAUAGUCUUCAAAUAAAGAUGCUAUGCACAUAGUAUCCAAGAUUUGUAAUUUUUUUUUUCCUACACAUGCAAUGCAAUUGUUUCAUACCUUGAAUAUAUUGAAUCAUAGAAUUCAACCAGACUUUAAAUAUUUUCUUUUCCCAGCAAAA